AUGAACAAAUUACAUGACGGAUUUCCCCGGUUACGGGACGCCAGUACCGUCAGCUGUCCCAGGCCUGUCCGUGACACCGGCGUGCAUGAGCAGCGCCCAGACGAGGGUGACGAACUCCCCGCCGCGCCCCAUGGCCUCGACGUGGCCCUUGACGUUCUUCGACGGUGCGACGAAGAGCACCAUCUCCGACCAGAAAUCCGCCAGGAACCGCCAUGCCGCCGCCUCAUCCUCGGCGUACGCCUCCACCAGGCGGCUCCCAAGCUCGGCGCCGCGCUGCAGCACCUCGUCCCUGCUGGUCGCGCUCAGCUCCUUGAGCAGCCGCUCGUACCUUUGCGCCGUCGACUCGCUGGCGCCGUCGUCGUCCUUUCCCAGCGCCGCCUUCACGUCCGCCACCACUUCCUUGUACCGCUUGUCGGUCCACGCCGGACUGUCCGGCAGCAGCCCCGGCGAGGCCGCCACCAGGUACGCGCAGUAGUAAGACAAAUGGCAGGCGGCUGUCAUGUCGGCCGCCGCCAACGUUGGACACGCCGCGUUCGAGUACUUGAUCUCGAAGAGCCUCGCGCCGAUGUGGCAAGCGAGGAUAUGCUCCGUGGUGCUGCUGGUGCCGCUGCCGCUUCCGGCACCGAUGGCCGGCCACGCCCAGCUGUCAACCUUGCCGCCGAGGCCUACCCGGUGCGCGGCGAGGGUGCUUCCUUUGUCCAGUCCCCCAUAGCUACUCUUCAAGGACCUGAGCACCGCGUCCUUAACGGCCUGGGAGAGUUCCACCGACCUCAUAAGCCCUGCGCGCCCAUACAGCUUCUCCGAGAAAAGCCCCGACCGUCGCCCGAAUCGGCGGGGCUCGAGCACCGAGGUCUGCCCGAUCUUGUCGCUCCAGCGCUUCGCGGGCCUGAAACGCAGCACCGUGUCCAGGGCCGCGUUGGUCCAACGACCGAGCGUGCCACUUCUGAUGUAAUGGCCGAUCAACGCCAUCUUGGUCCAGUUGGAGCACACGCCGGCGAUGAUCUCACACGCUUCGGUGAGCACGGCGGCGAGUAG
Molecule: ribosomal RNA, 1035 nt
Filed under: Triticum aestivum (bread wheat)
Lineage: Eukaryota; Viridiplantae; Streptophyta; Magnoliopsida; Poales; Poaceae
Description: partial small subunit ribosomal RNA
Source: RNAcentral